RNAcentral lists this small RNA (1046 nucleotides) under uncultured Pelagibacterales bacterium. RNAcentral describes it as "bacterial SSU rRNA". The stretch from base 1 to 658 matches the Rfam family "Bacterial small subunit ribosomal RNA", at positions 867 to 1533 of the family's 1533-position model. Lineage: Bacteria; Pseudomonadati; Pseudomonadota; Alphaproteobacteria; Candidatus Pelagibacterales. The record is from RNAcentral.
CACCGCCUGGGGAGUACGACCGCAAGGUUAAAACUCAAAUGAAUUGACGGGGACCCGCACAAGUAGUGGAGCAUGUGGUUUAAUUCGAAGAUACGCGCAGAACCUUACCAACACUUGACAUGUUCGUCGCGACUUUAAGAGAUUAAAGUUUUCGGUUCGGCCGGACGAAACACAGGUGCUGCAUGGCUGUCGUCAGCUCGUGUCGUGAGAUGUUGGGUUAAGUCCCGCAACGAGCGCAACCCUCACUUUUAGUUGCCAUCAUUAAGUUGGGCACUCUGAAAGAACUGCCAGUGAUAAGCUGGAGGAAGGUGGGGAUGACGUCAAGUCCUCAUGGCCCUUACGUGUUGGGCUACACACGUGCUACAAUGGUAUUUACAACAGGAAGCAAGACGGCGACGUUAAGCAAAUCCUUAAAAAAUACCUCAGUUCGGAUUGCACUCUGCAACUCGAGUGCAUGAAGCUGGAAUUACUAGUAAUCGUGGAUCAGCGUGCCACGGCGAAUGCGUUCCCGGGUCUUGUACACACCGCCCGUCACACCAUGGGAGUUGGUUCUACCUUAAGGCAAGGUUUAAAACCCUUGACCACGGUAUAGUCAGCGACUGGGGUGAAGUCGUAACAAGGUAGCCGUAGGGGAACCUGCGGCUGGAUUACCUCCUUUCUAAGGAUGAGUAAAAGUAAAAUUUUGCUCUAAAUAAUAUACAGGUUAAUGUUGACCGUCCUCAUUCCUCUUCUUGAAUUAGUGUUUCUCUUGCAUGGGGGCCGGUAGCUCAGUUGGUUAGAGCACACCCUUGAUAAGGGUGGGGUCGAAAGUUCGAGUCUUUCUCGGCCCACCAACUUAAAAUUAAAGGGGGAUUAGCUCAGCUGGGAGAGCGCCUGAUUUGCAUUCAGGAGGUCAGCGGUUCGAUCCCGCUAUCCUCCACCAAAACACUUAGUUAUGAAAUUUUGUGAAUAAAAUAUAAUUAAUAUCAAUAUCUAUAUCCGAACAUUAGUGAUGUUAUUAGCUAAUGUUCAAAUAAAAAUUUGAUUCAACACAGAAUUUUUUUCUG